RNAcentral lists this ribosomal RNA (464 nucleotides) under uncultured bacterium. Its description in RNAcentral is "partial 16S ribosomal RNA". It matches the Rfam family "Bacterial small subunit ribosomal RNA", at positions 28 to 506 of the family's 1533-position model. The record is from RNAcentral.
GACGAACGCUGGCGGCGUGCUUAACACAUGCAAGUCGAACGGUAAGGCUCCAGCUUGCUGGGGUACACGAGUGGCGAACGGGUGAGUAACACGUGGGUGACCUGCCCUGCACUUCGGGAUAAGCCUGGGAAACUGGGUCUAAUACCGGAUAGGACCGCACCGUGAGGGUGUGGUGGAAAGUUUUUUCGGUGUGGGAUGGGCCCGCGGCCUAUCAGCUUGUUGGUGGGGUAAUGGCCUACCAAGGCGGCGACGGGUAGCCGGCCUGAGAGGGUGGACGGCCACAUUGGGACUGAGACACGGCCCAGACUCCUACGGGAGGCAGCAGUGGGGAAUAUUGCACAAUGGGCGGAGGCCUGAUGCAGCGACGCCGCGUGGGGGAUGACGGCCUUCGGGUUGUAAACUCCUUUCACCAUCGACGAAGGGUUUCUGACGGUAGAUGGAGAAGAAGCACCGGCUAACUACGU